RNAcentral lists this ribosomal RNA (253 nucleotides) under uncultured bacterium. RNAcentral's name for it is "partial 16S ribosomal RNA". It matches the Rfam family "Bacterial small subunit ribosomal RNA", at positions 524 to 776 of the family's 1533-position model. The record is from RNAcentral.
CACGUAGGGUGCGAGCGUUGUCCGGAAUUAUUGGGCGUAAAGAGCUCGUAGGCGGUGUGUCGCGUCGGCCGUGAAAACCUGCAGCUUAACUGUGGGCUUGCGGUCGAUACGGGCAGGCUAGAGUUCGGUAGGGGAGUCUGGAAUUCCUGGUGUAGCGGUGAAAUGCGCAGAUAUCAGGAGGAACACCGGUGGCGAAGGCGGGACUCUGGGCCGAUACUGACGCUGAGGAGCGAAAGCGUGGGGAGCGAACAGG